CAGCACUUUCUACUGCAGUCCUCAGAGAAGCAUCAUGAUGGAGAAGAUCUUGUUGGGACUUUUGUUUCUUUUAGACUGGGUGUUCCUCUCCACCUGCCUCCUUCCCCAGUUCUAUUUUGUUAAUAAAUUGUUAAAUUGGACUGAAGCUCAGACCUACUGCAGACAGAAGCACGCAGACCUGGCCACCAUCCUAAACUCUGAGCAACAGAACCAACUAAUCAACACUCUUACAUCUGCUGGACACAGCUCUGACGUCUGGAUUGGUCUGUUCAGUGAAAUCCACUGGAAAUGGUCCGAUGGUUACACUGGGAGUGGAGCUGACUACAGAGACUGGCAUAUAAAUGAACCAUCAUGGUAUAACCUUAAUGACUUAUGUGUCGGAUCACACAACUAUGGGGAAUGGUUUGAUGCUCCCUGCACAGGAAAUCGUCAGUUUUUGUGUUACAAAGGCUCACACUUGGAUCCUGAAUUUGUUUAUGUGACUACUACAAUGUCCUGGUCCAAUGCACAGUCAUACUGCAGAAAUAACUUUGUUGAUCUGGCCACCAUAAAAAAUGACACAGAGCACCAACGAGUCCAGAGCCUAAUACCCGGUGGCCAAUAUCCAUGGAUUGGUCUAUAUAGAGAUGCAAAUCUUCACUGGUCUGAUGGGAGCAGCGUCCUCUUUACUAGCUGGGAUUCCUUUAGUAUUGUGAUUGGCUCCAGGAAAGUCAUAUGUGGUGCUACAUCUACUGGAAUAUCAGGAAGAUGGAAAAUUGUUCCCUGUGAAACAAGAUUACCAUUUGUCUGUUAUGGUCCUCCUGGUGAGUGUUUAAAAAUCAAAAGGAGAAAAAAAGAAGCUGCAUUACAUACCAAUCAUAUGAACUCAAAAUUUGUCCUGAUAUCUGGCACUUAGAUAUAGAUAUCCUUCUUUACUACUGUCUAAAACCUUUUGUAAACUUGG
Cyprinodon variegatus (sheepshead minnow) is the source of this 943-nucleotide long non-coding RNA. RefSeq lists it as uncharacterized. The transcript has 3 exons. The record is from RefSeq and is a predicted model, not a curated record. Lineage: Eukaryota; Metazoa; Chordata; Actinopteri; Cyprinodontiformes; Cyprinodontidae.